GCCUACGGGGGGCAGCAGUCGAGAAUCAUUCACAAUGGGGGAAACCCUGAUGGUGCGACGCCGCGUGGGGGAAUGAAGGUCUUCGGAUUGUAAACCCCUGUCAUGUGGGAGCAAAUUAAAAAGAUAGUACCACAAGAGGAAGAGACGGCUAACUCUGUGCCGGCAGCCGCGGUAAUACAGAGGUCUCAAGCGUUGUUCGGAAUCACUGGGCGUAAAGCGUGCGUAGGCUGUUUCGUAAGUCGUGUGUGAAAGGCGCGGGCUCAACCCGCGGACGGCACAUGAUAUUGCGAGACUAGAGUAAUGGG
RNAcentral lists this ribosomal RNA (305 nucleotides) under uncultured bacterium. RNAcentral's name for it is "bacterial SSU rRNA". It matches the Rfam family "Bacterial small subunit ribosomal RNA", at positions 337 to 653 of the family's 1533-position model. The record is from RNAcentral.